Molecule: long non-coding RNA, 97 nt
Organism: Octopus sinensis (East Asian common octopus)
Lineage: Eukaryota; Metazoa; Mollusca; Cephalopoda; Octopoda; Octopodidae
Exons: 3
Source: RefSeq, a predicted model, not a curated record
AGACUGUAAAAGAUUUUGUUUUUUUUUUUUUUGCUUGGACACCGGCUUUUCUUAUAAGGUUUCCUUUUAUCUUAAAAAGUAACUUUUAAUCAUAAAA